GAUAACUGGCUUGUGGRGGCCAAGCGUUCAUAGCGACAUCGCUUUUUGAUCCUURGAUGUGGCCUCUUCCUAUCUUUGUGAAGCAGAAUUCGCCAAGCGUAUAUACGGUAGUGUGGAUGAUCUUCCAUAGCGUGCAUAAGUGGGUAGAUAUCGAUAGACU
This 160-nucleotide non-coding RNA is filed under the name Scleropages formosus (Asian bonytongue). Its description in RNAcentral is "Eukaryotic large subunit ribosomal RNA". It matches the Rfam family "Eukaryotic large subunit ribosomal RNA", at positions 2825 to 2941 of the family's 3401-position model. The record is from Rfam by way of RNAcentral. Lineage: Eukaryota; Metazoa; Chordata; Actinopteri; Osteoglossiformes; Osteoglossidae.